RNAcentral lists this ribosomal RNA (440 nucleotides) under uncultured bacterium. RNAcentral describes it as "partial 16S ribosomal RNA". It matches the Rfam family "Bacterial small subunit ribosomal RNA", at positions 338 to 795 of the family's 1533-position model. The record is from RNAcentral.
CCUACGGGAGGCAGCAGUGGGGAAUAUUGCACAAUGGGGGAAACCCUGAUGCAGCGACGCCGCGUGAAGGAUGAAGUAUUUCGGUAUGUAAACUUCUAUCAGCAGGGAAGAAAAUGACGGUACCUGACUAAGAAGCCCUGGCUAACUCCGUGCCAGCAGCCGCGGGAAGACGCAGGGGGCAAGCGUUAUCCGGAUUUACGGGGUGUAAAGGGAGCGUAGACGGCAUGGCAAGUCUGGUGUGAAAGCCGGGGGCUCAACCCCGGGACUGCAUUGGAAACUGUCAGGCUAGAGUGUCGGAGAGGCGAGUGGAAUUCCUGGUGUAGCAGUGAAAUGCGUAGAUAUUAGGAGGAACACCAGUGGCGAAGGCGACUUGCUGGACGAUGACUGACGUUGAGGCUCGAAAGCGUGGGGAGCAAACAGGAUUAGAUACCCGAGUAGUC